CUGGUAGACAGAAUCCAAGGUCAGUCUCUGUUACUAUCAAAGUCACCAUAAGGUGAAUUCUGUUUUGCUCCCUGGAAAGGUCUGAUUUUCCGCUCUUCUGGUUCCACCGGGCGCUCUGGUUGUGGCUGCGGGGCAGAAGAGAGGGCCAAGGUGGACAUGGGGGAGUCCGCAGGCAGCCCCCGAAGAGGGGCAGGUGAGAAGUGAUGGCAGCCAGGACUGGAGCGAUGCCCGUGGACAUGGAGGGAAGGAUGGGUUAUGGAGAGUCUGAGCGGUUAAAAUAAACGAAUUGCCUAGAAACAUGAAAAGCCAAGUUCCAUUAUCUACGAACUCUCCUGAACCAAGCACAGGGAAAUCAGACGGUCUGAGUGGCUUAAAGGGAGUGGCAUGAGGAUCUUCCUUCUAAAGGACUGUGAGCGGCUUGUAGGAAGGUUGGAGGCUGUUUAUCUUUCUAUCUCUGGA
Molecule: long non-coding RNA, 459 nt
Organism: Suricata suricatta (meerkat)
Lineage: Eukaryota; Metazoa; Chordata; Mammalia; Carnivora; Herpestidae
Exons: 4
Source: RefSeq, a predicted model, not a curated record